GACGAACGCUGGCGGCGUGCCUAAUACAUGCAAGUAGAACGCUGAAGGAGGAGCUUGCUUCUCUGGAUGAGUUGCGAACGGGUGAGUAACGCGUAGGUAACCUGCCUGGUAGCGGGGGAUAACUAUUGGAAACGAUAGCUAAUACCGCAUAAGAGUAGAUGUUGCAUGACAUUUGCUUAAAAGGUGCAAUUGCAUCACUACCAGAUGGACCUGCGUUGUAUUAGCUAGUUGGUGGGGUAACGGCUUACCAAGGCGACGAUACAUAGCCGACCUGAGAGGGUGAUCGGCCACACUGGGACUGAGACACGGCCCAGACUCCUACGGGAGGCAGCAGUAGGGAAUCUUCGGCAAUGGACGGAAGUCUGACCGAGCAACGCCGCGUGAGUGAAGAAGGUUUUCGGAUCGUAAAGCUCUGUUGUAAGAGAAGAACGAGUGUGAGAGUGGAAAGUUCACACUGUGACGGCAUCUUACCAGAAAGGGACGGCUAACUACGUG
RNAcentral lists this ribosomal RNA (495 nucleotides) under uncultured bacterium. RNAcentral describes it as "partial 16S ribosomal RNA". It matches the Rfam family "Bacterial small subunit ribosomal RNA", at positions 28 to 507 of the family's 1533-position model. The record is from RNAcentral.